This is a long non-coding RNA of Scleropages formosus (Asian bonytongue), 3027 nucleotides long. The record is from Ensembl. NCBI's taxonomy places the organism in Eukaryota, Metazoa, Chordata, Actinopteri, Osteoglossiformes, Osteoglossidae.
GCCAUGAUGGAGGUGCCGUCGGCGUCGCCGGGCGGCGUGUCCGACGACGACGACGUUAGGCCCAGCGUGCUGGAAUCCACAGCCGCUGACCCCGGGGGCCUCGCGGGCCCGCGGGGUCGAGGUUACGACCUGCCGGAGAUCUCCCUGAUCUCCUCGCCUCAAGACGACCAGCCUUUAAGGAAAGAGGAUGAUGUGGAGAGAGUCCAAGUGUAUUUGCGUGUUCGGCCCGUGCUCGAGGCGGAGAAGGAACGUGGUGAGGAACAGGGCUGUGUCUUUAUUCACGACCAACAAACCGUGGUGCUGAAAGCCCCCACGGACUCGUUCAACAUGAAGGGCAUGGAAAGGGGUACUGCUCAGAGCAUGCACAAGUUCACUUUUACACAGAUAUCUGGACCUGAGACAACUCAGCAAGAGUUUUUUGAGUGUACCACGAAGGAGCUUGUGCAGGAGGUCCUACGUGGUGAGAACAGGCUGCUUUUCACGUAUGGCAUCACCAACUCUGGCAAGACAUACACCGUCCAGGGAACGAGCCAGAAGGCCGGCCUGCUCCCCCGGACACUGGUGGCCUUGUUUCGCAAGCUGCAGGGUCAUCUUUCCUGUGCGCUGGAGCUGAAACCAGUGCUGUGCCAGGAGGUGCGCGUCCUGGACCAUACCGAGGUCCAGGCUGAGGAGAUCCGCCGAGACAAACUGCUACACAUGGUGAGGAGGAUUCUGGGAACGUGCUCAGGAAUGAUGUCCCAAAAUUCCCGGCUGCGAGACGAUGUCAGCAUCAGCUGUGAUAGUGGCUUUUGGGGUGCGUCCACAGUCGCCCAGCUGGAGGACUCAGACAGUGUUUGCCUGGAAGCCAAAAGCCUUUCACAGAGUGGAGAGGAGGGGCUCCCGGAAGGGGUGCAGUUCUCGGUAUGGGUGUCCUUUUUCGAAAUCUACAACGAGUUCCUGUAUGAUCUGCUGGAUUCCACGUCUUCCUCGCACCGCAGGAAACGAUCGACAUUGCGCUUGUGUGAAGAUCGCCACGGAAACCCUUAUGUGAAAGACCUCACCUGGAUGCAGGUCCGCAGCGCUGAGGAGGCCUGGAAAGUUCUGAAAGUGGGGCGCAGCAACCAGAGUUUUGCAGGCACUCAUAUGAACCAUGUUUCCAGCCGCAGUCACAGCAUCUUCAACAUCCGCAUCCUGCACACGCACCCUGGAAGCAGCAGGGGGCAGAAUGCUCGGAUUAGUGAGCUGUCUGUCUGUGACCUUGCGGGGUCAGAGCGUUGCAGAAACCAGCAGAACGGGGAGCGCAUUAAGGAAGCAACCAACAUCAACACCUCUCUUCACACCCUUGGCCGGUGCCUCAAUGCCCUUCGAUACAACCAGGCCAACAGGUCUCGGCCCCCCCUGGUCGUGCCCUUCAGGGACAGCAAGCUGACACGUGUGCUGCAGGGCUUCUUCUGCGGCCGUGGUCGCUCCAUCAUGGUGGUCAACAUCAACCCUUGCGCCUCCAGCUAUGAUGAGACACUGCAUGCCCUCAAGUUCUCCGCUGUCGCAAUGCAGGUGAGGCUCAGCACCCGUUGCCUUUUGUUGUUCUCAGUGCACCAGGGGUAUGUCUGUAGUUUACUUGAAACCCUGGAAACGGAGAGGGAGCUGAUGCAAGAGCGAUAUGAGGACAAGAUCCAGAACUUGCAGAAAAGCCUGAGAAGAUACUACAUACAGGAGAUUGAGGUGAGGGAAGUGCUGGGUGUUUACUGCAGAGAGGGGGAGCAAGGUAAGGGACUUGCACUAAGGAAAUGCAGGCAGGAAACGGCUAACCCCACCCAAAAAAAGCUGUUUUUUUUUUUAAGCUGCCUGGAGACCUGUUACCAGGGUCAGACCAUCCAUACGAGCAGUGUCACUGUCACUGUGGAUAACCAGCUGGAGGAGGGUCACAAGAACCUCCGUCAGCUGCGUGUCGGCCUCCAGCAGCUGAGCCUGAACCUGCGGUCAGGGGAACGGGUCUGCUGUAGCAACACGAGCGGAGAGCGGCUGCGCACCAUGCUGGCUGCUGCCGAAGGGGUGGCUGCCAAGCAGGAGCAGACACUGGUGGAGCUGCAGAAGAGCUGGAUGACGGUCAGAAUGGAGCUCAGGAAGAAGUCCGAAGACGUAGCCGGACCGCAGCUCCCAACCCCCGGUUCCUUCCGGAAAAAGGGGCACCCAAACCGGGAAUCUGAGCUUGAGAACAAACACCCCAAGAAGAAACGCUCUGUCCGAUGUGUGCGGAACGCCCCCCCGGUCAGCCCCGCCACACCCUUUUUCCGCGCUCUGCGCUCCCGCCAGCAGAGUCCCCUGUCCUGACGGGGUCAAGUGUUGAGUUUCCAGGAGUGCAGUGUUUGGAAACAGUUGGUCACAUUAACCAGCCAAAUCUGAAUGAUGCAUUGGCUUUGAGUGAAUGUGAAAUAACUCAGUUUUAGUGCCAUGUCAUUUACACAGGUUUCUCUGAUCUGUCAAAUCUGGUGCUGGGGUUUGUGGUCUAAGGUGGUGUGUUUUCUUCCUCUCAGCUGUACUGCAGCUCACCUUUGGGGUGUAGAGUCGCUCAUCAAAUUUCAAAAUAUUUCAACUUUUGUGAAGUUCAGAAUACCUUGCACAUAAGUAAAAUUAUGGAAUAUAAACAACAUAUGCACUACUUCAUGACUUGGUGGUCAGCUUAGGAUUUGGUUUUGAUUUGGUUGUUCAAAAAUCACUGAAUGGUUCUUGUUACUGCACUGCACUGUUAGCUGAACAACGCAGUGGUGCUGGUUUGAAAAAUAAGUGUAUUUUGCUUUGGUGGUGUAUAAUCUAUUUAGUUGUGCUUCUGCACAUACUGGUGCUCAAUUACCCUGAAUGCUUUACCACACUUUUGGUGCACAUCACUUUCUACUGUGUUUCGUGUUGCUGUGCAGGCAGUACUUUUGCUUUCAUAGAAUGUGAAGCAUUUCAAAUGAAGCUUAUUUUUAUGUUGAAGUUCUCCAGUUUGCAUUAUUUUUCGGGGGUGUACCGUACACAGAAGUAACUUUUUCUCGUUUUGCCAUGCAU